UUUGAUCUGCUCCAGAGAUUAGAUAACUCGAAAGAUCCCCUCAGAUGAAUCGCUUUUACCUGUGCUUGGAUUCGGCAGCGGCCUCCGGUCGCUUUCCCUGUCUCUAACUCCCAUGAGCCAAGCCGACAGUCUCUUCCUCUUCCCUCCUGCUGAAGACCGCUCCUCUCUUCCGUUCAUCAUAAAAUAGAUAGGUUUUUCCCUGUGUGUCUGGUGACAAGCCAAGAGGAAAAGUUCUCUUACUCCUUCUGUCUUUGAUUUCGUUACUGUGGAUGGUGUUGUAUUUGUUUGUGUUACCUGGAAUUGUUUUGGGCUGGCACGUGGUAUGGGUCUUGUGUGUUUAUAUUCUCUCCCUUUUGGCUUUCUUUCGUUUCAGUAAUCUCUCUCUUUUCGGCUAUCCUGCGUGUUGUAGAUGGUUUUAUAAGAAUUAUUGGAGGUGCGACCUGAAGCUUUAAAACUUUUGGGACUUUGCCUUUUAUAUUAUAAGAAUAGGUUCUGUUGGAGUAUAGAGGCUCCAAAAGUGUUUUAGAAGGGAAAGAAUCUCUAUUUCCUGGCAUAUCCUGUACUAUCUCCUCUUUCUUUGCAUUCUUAGAAGGUUUUUUUUUGGCGAAGGUUGUGCUUGUUUCUCUUUUUUCUUCUAUAUAUGCACUUUGCUUGGUGAGAAAUUGGAAUUAGGGUUUGGAGGGGGAGGCAGAACAGCAGCCAUCAAACUUUAGACCUUCUGAGUGCCAGGAUCUUUGGAGGUUUAUUUAUCGACCAGAAGAAAAUGGGAAGAUCCCUCUCUCUCUCUCCCUCACGCCGCCCCCCCACCCUCCAAAAAAUAUUUGUGGAGCUUCAAGUUCAUCUGCAUUGCUUUGCGAUUUUAUUGAUCUAUUUGUCUAUGUAGUUGGAAUAUUGUUGAAGGAUUUGGUUCCCACAGGUGAUCAUGGCUUCAGUUCUCUCUGAAAUAUAUGGAUUAUCUAGUUGAUUCCCUCUUUCUUCCCUGAGAAAAAAAAGGUUGGGCUAAUUUAUUAGGAUAUAAAUCCCGGACCUUCUUCUCCAAGGGCAAGCCCUUAAAGGAGAGGUUCCAACCAACUGAGCAAACAGUUGUUGACCUCCAUUUUUUUAAUUUGCUGUUCCAGUUGUAAUGGUUUAAAGAGGUCUAGAAGAUGUGAGGUACGCAAUUCUUCUAAUAUUUUUGGAUAUUUUGUUGGAUAGGGUUGGAACUUUUCUUUGAAUAAUAACUUGAAGAAUAGAUUGAAGUUAUUAUUAUUUUCUUUUUUUUGAUGGUUUACAUCGAAGUUAGAAUCAUGCUUAAAGAUUGAUUAUUUUUUCUUUGAUUUUGG
Molecule: long non-coding RNA, 1322 nt
Filed under: Elaeis guineensis (African oil palm)
Lineage: Eukaryota; Viridiplantae; Streptophyta; Magnoliopsida; Arecales; Arecaceae
Description: long non-coding RNA (EGUI_LNC021840)
Source: RNAcentral